CAGGGGUUCAGGGGGUCUUCCAAGAGUGAGAACUUUUGUGAGGGAGAACUUCAUAUGAAAGAAAAAUUGGGUGUAUGAGGAUUGAGGGUGAGACCUCCUCUUGUAAAAUUUUUUUUCAUAGUGAAGUUUGCAUACCUCGUGGAGGCGAGCUCUUUUGUGACUGAUCCACAUAUUUUAAUUAUUUUUAUUUUAUUUCUUCUUUCUUCCUGCUGCAUCGCAUGGUACUGAAAGGAUCCUGAAAGGUGGUGCCCUGGCC
Molecule: long non-coding RNA, 256 nt
Filed under: Elaeis guineensis (African oil palm)
Lineage: Eukaryota; Viridiplantae; Streptophyta; Magnoliopsida; Arecales; Arecaceae
Description: long non-coding RNA (EGUI_LNC065450)
Source: RNAcentral